GGCAAGAUGGCCGAGUGGUUAUGGCGGUGGUCUCAAGUCAAAUACUUGCGCUAGUAAAUAGUGAAGAAUGCCACUGGAGCAAUCCGCAGGGGUUCGAAUCCCCUUCUUGUCA
Xylariaceae sp. AK1471 is the source of this 112-nucleotide non-coding RNA. The record is from the annotation of a GenBank genome assembly. NCBI's taxonomy places the organism in Eukaryota, Fungi, Ascomycota, Sordariomycetes, Xylariales, Xylariaceae.